This is a long non-coding RNA of Gadus morhua (Atlantic cod), 1373 nucleotides long. RefSeq lists it as uncharacterized. The record is from RefSeq and is a predicted model, not a curated record. Lineage: Eukaryota; Metazoa; Chordata; Actinopteri; Gadiformes; Gadidae. The transcript has 2 exons.
CUGUCUGUCUGUCUCCCUCCCUCUCCCCAGGUCUCCGUAGAGGCCACAUCGGUGGCCAGCCCUCUGCCCUACACUCCUCUACCUCAGGGUUCCAGGGACCCUAGGAACCACAAAGGAGCGUUCGCAAAGUGUCGCUACGUCUACUACGGGAAGAACUCGGAAGGCAACCGGUUCAUCCGCAAUGACCAGCUCUGAUCGGUAGACAGGACCGUGCUGAGAACACCGUCUGAGUCAUGCGUGUUGACUUCAGAGGUUUUGAUGACACGUUUGACAAUGAAGAAUUACGCUUUAUUUUUUAUCUAAUGACUUUCACCAGUGUCUCCCUUGACUUUGGGAGGGGGGAGGGGGGAAUUAGUUAAAUCAGUUUCAAUUUCCUACGAAAACUGUUUAAGUCAUGAUACAUCUCCAUAUGAAUGACCUGUGAUCAUUGAUUGGGGAAAUGAAAUCAAUCAAUCCAAAGCUUUGAUCCACGGCCCAUUGCACACAACAAAUGCAUGUGUGAGCAUGUGUCGUGAUCCAAGCACCCUAACCAGUCAGAUGUCACUGGGUCGCCAAUCAAGCAUAAGCAAACCUCAGGAAAUACAGGGAAGUUAAUCUCCCUCGAAUGUUACUCCCUCCGUCACUGUUUACGUUUCAGCCAUCUUUCCUUCAUUCUCUCAUACUUUCCUUCACUUCUUUCUUCGGUCCAUCCUUCCUUGUUCCAAUCCAUCCAUCCUACCUUAAUCCCCUUCAUUCAUUCAUUCCUUUCUCUCUUUCUUCUUUAAUUCCUUAUUUCGUUCUGUCCUUAAGUCAUUGCCUCCUUCCUUCUGUCAAAAAGAGCCAAUCUGAUAUGACCUGCAUCUUCUUUCAGAUAUGUAUGUUGAAGAUCAAUUUCUGUAGCCUUCGCUUUCUUCGGCCUCUUAAGUGGUCAGUCCAGGUCAGGCCACAGGUCAGUCUAAGUAUAGCCCAGUGAUUAUAUUUUUUGCGUUUUAGUUUCAAAAUCAUAGUAUAUGGUCUUUACGUUUCAAAACCAUAGUAUAUGGUUUUGAAACUUAAAAUGACAUGACACACAAAAGUGUGAUCUGUCAUUUGUCAAGUGAUCUAUCAAGUGUUUUUAUUGUGUAUGUUUUUUAUUUUUAGAAGAAUCACAUAAAAAACGUCUGAAAUUACCAAAUAAGCGACGUAGCUAAUGUUUUUACGUUGCAUGAGCUUAAGAAAAAGUUUACUUUGUUUUCUUUGGCACUAUGGCAAUUAAUAUUUCAGAAAUGCAUAUGUCAAUUUAAAUAAUAAGCUUUUUGGAAUUAUUAUUCUGGCUGUCAGACAAUCUUUAAUUAAUUUGAUAUGCUUGUGAUACAAAUAAAGCAAACCGAUUCAGCCUUUGGGCAAUCAAUCAA